UUUGUGUGUGUUUUUUUUAAACCUAAUAACUUUAUAAACAAAAGUCUUUUUGGCUAUAUACCAAUAUUCAGUAUGAAGUCAUUAGCGUUUAAAUUGACAUUUCCAAAGAUCUAGAUACCUAUCUUGUUUUGCAAGGAACACAUCUGCCAUGAAAAACUUUGUAAUUUUGCUUAUUCUAUUUUUACUUUUGGCAAUACUACAUUUUAAU
RNAcentral lists this long non-coding RNA (208 nucleotides) under Mytilus galloprovincialis (Mediterranean mussel). The record is from RNAcentral. Lineage: Eukaryota; Metazoa; Mollusca; Bivalvia; Mytilida; Mytilidae.